RNAcentral lists this ribosomal RNA (485 nucleotides) under uncultured bacterium. Its description in RNAcentral is "partial 16S ribosomal RNA". It matches the Rfam family "Bacterial small subunit ribosomal RNA", at positions 28 to 507 of the family's 1533-position model. The record is from RNAcentral.
GAUGAACGCUGGCGGCGUGCUUAACACAUGCAAGUCGAACGGGAUCCCAGGGGUGCUUGCACUUUUUGGUGAGAGUGGCGCACGGGUGAGUAACACGUGAGUAACCUGUCCUUUUCUUUGGGAUAAGCAUUCGAAAGGGUGUUUAAUACCUUAUGUUCUGUCUGCCUCGCAUGGGGUGGGUGGGAAAGGCUUUGGCCGGAUUUGGGUGGGCUCGCGGUCUAUCAGCUUGUUGGUGGGGUGAUGGCUUACCAAGGCUUUGACGGGUAGCCGGCCUGAGAGGGUGGUCGGUCACAUUGGGACUGAGAUACGGCCCAGACUCCUGCGGGAGGCAGCAGUGGGGGAUAUUGCACAAUGGGCGAAAGCCUGAUGCAGCGACGCCGCGUGGGGGAUGAAGGCCUUCGGGUUGUAAACUUCUUUUGCUCUGAACAAGGCAUGCCAGUGGGUGUGUUGAGUGUAGGGGUUGAUUAGCGCCGGCUAACUACGUG